Molecule: long non-coding RNA, 1055 nt
Filed under: Salvator merianae (Argentine black and white tegu)
Lineage: Eukaryota; Metazoa; Chordata; Lepidosauria; Squamata; Teiidae
Description: lncRNA (ENSSMRG00000005825.1)
Source: RNAcentral
AGUUAACUCCCUCUUUGCCAUUUUAAUGAUGGCUUAUUAAAUCAGAUCAUUUUUACCUGUCGCUGAGGUCACUUAAAAAAAAAAAUGAUAGUACAUAUUCUAAAAAUUGAAACCAAAUUGUUGGUUAAAGAUCAGAUUCCACACACGCGCAGCCCUUAGUGACAAUAUUGAUUGCAUUCAGGCAAACAGAUGAGCCUUUUUAAUGCAAAGUGCUAGAAUUCAGUAGAAAAAGGUUAAAAUCGAAAUGAGUAAUCUUCGGCGCAUAAUCUGCAAUUGUUAAUUUUAGCUCUGUGCGUAGGAGCUGUUAUGACUUGAACAGCCGGCUCUAGCCUUCAUUAGGGGAGAGGCACACAGUUUUUGAGACAGGUGGAGCUAGAUCAAGCUGUGAAAGUGAUUUGCUUGAAGCUGGUCAUUAGUUUUAGAAAUCUGUUCUCUAUUUAUUUUAUCUUUUAACCCUGCCAUGAUUACAGUUGCUGUUAUUGGUGUUUAUUUUUUGUGUUUCUCCCUCCACCUCCCUGCUAGGUUGGUGACGAUGAUCUCUGGAAUUCUCUAAAGGAACAGCAUGGAGAUUGGCACUUUGAACUGUUAAUGGGGUCAUGAAACUCACGUUGUCAUUGAUCAUUUGUGUGGAUUUAACUAGUGAGCAGCAACAACAACUGAUAGAAAGGCAUCAGGAAUUAACUCAGCACUGAAGGUCAUCAGUUCUUGUUCUUUUAAUUUCUAUCUGGAAGAAUGUCUGAGCAAGAUAAAACAGAAGAAUCUGGUAAUGAGGCAGACUUAGCCAUCUCCCAACAAGAAAACUGCAUCCACAAUAAAAGUGAAAACUCAGAAGGAGACGAAAAUGGCAAAUCGGAUCAGAGACGAAGUGCUAACCAGAACCAGAAAAAGAGAUCCAAGGUAGAGCUUUUGACUGCUUUCUCAGUGUCACAGUAUUAGGUACAAAGCUGUAUGCAGAUGGUUAAUUCUGGAAGUUUAUUUCCAUUUGGCAUUUGUGUUAUAAUGAGGUAUCAUAAUACAUUUGGUAGCUUUUCGUCAGUUACAUUUUUGUCUCUGCU